This 330-nucleotide long non-coding RNA is filed under the name Nicotiana benthamiana. RNAcentral's name for it is "long non-coding RNA (NBEN_LNC015029)". The record is from RNAcentral. Lineage: Eukaryota; Viridiplantae; Streptophyta; Magnoliopsida; Solanales; Solanaceae.
UGGAAAUUGAAAGUGAGAACCUUUUCUUGGCACUUGAUCAAAACCAAGAAGAACUCCCAAAUGCUCAAGAUGAGAAAAUAUUGCUCAUGUUUGAGACAAUUCUUGAAAAUGAGGAGAAGCACAACUUUGCACUUAAUGCUCAAGAUGAGAAAAUAAUGCUCAUGUUGGAGACUAUUCUUGAAAAUGAGGAGAAGCACAACUUUGCACUCGAGGACUUGAAACAAAGUUUGGCAUACAAUGAUGAACACAUCCGCACUUUGGAAGACCAAAUGCAAAAAUUGAUUGAGGCUCAUUAUGCCCAACAACUUGAGUGUGUGGAAGAAAGCCAAG